CUUGAGCGAGCCCAGCAGCAGCGGGCGGCCGGCCGGGCGGCCCUGGCCGUAGGUGGCCAGCAGGGCCUGCGCCUC
RNAcentral lists this antisense RNA (75 nucleotides) under Saccharothrix espanaensis DSM 44229. RNAcentral describes it as "ASpks TB sRNA". It matches the Rfam family "ASpks TB sRNA". Lineage: Bacteria; Bacillati; Actinomycetota; Actinomycetes; Pseudonocardiales; Pseudonocardiaceae. The record is from Rfam by way of RNAcentral.